UCAUAGGAGUUCGCUCCUGUAACUGAAUCACGAAGGUUAUUAUUGUGGGAUAAUUCUUUCGACGUAUUAAUGGCAUAUUGCUGGUGUAUGAAUAAGUUCAGAAGUGCAGGAAAUUCGUGGUGUGAAUCUGACGGGGAGAAUUUUCGGCGCGUUCUGUAAAUAAUUUGUAAACAUUAAAACUUUUCUGAAACAAAGUGAAACAAAACAAAGUAAAAUGGCGGAGAAGUUGGUGGAUAUUUUUCAGCGUCUGUUUUAAACCUAUUCUCGCUGAUACCCAGAAGACAGCCAUCUUUGGACCCAGCGCCGUCAGAACCGAAAAUCCUUCUUAGCUAAGGGAAAAUUUGCUCCUUCCUGUGGA
Non-coding RNA from Zootermopsis nevadensis, 358 nucleotides. Lineage: Eukaryota; Metazoa; Arthropoda; Insecta; Blattodea; Termopsidae. The record is from RefSeq and is a predicted model, not a curated record.